RNAcentral lists this transfer RNA (74 nucleotides) under Oryzias latipes (Japanese medaka). RNAcentral's name for it is "tRNA-Thr (AGT) (tRNA-Thr-AGT-17-1)". It matches the Rfam family "tRNA". Rfam says of the family: Transfer RNA (tRNA) molecules are approximately 80 nucleotides in length. Their secondary structure includes four short double-helical elements and three loops (D, anti-codon, and T loops). Lineage: Eukaryota; Metazoa; Chordata; Actinopteri; Beloniformes; Adrianichthyidae. The record is from Rfam by way of RNAcentral.
GGCGCUGUGGCUUAGUUGGUUAAAGCGCCUGUCUAGUAAACAGGAGAUCCUGGGUCCAAAUCCCAGCAGUGCUU